RNAcentral lists this ribosomal RNA (117 nucleotides) under Clostridiales bacterium. Lineage: Bacteria; Bacillati; Bacillota; Clostridia; Eubacteriales. The record is from RNAcentral.
GUCAGUGUCAUUAACGCGCAGGGUCCACCCGUUCCCAUUCCGAACACGGAAGUUAAGCUGCGCAGUGCCGACAAUACUUGGCUGGAGACGGCCCGGGAAGAUAGGUCGACGCCAACU